AUACUGGCCAGAGACCGAUAGCGCACAAGUAGAGUGAUCGAAAGAUGAAAAGCACUUUGGAAAGAGAGUCAAACAGCACGUGAAAUUGUUGAAAGGGAAGCGCUUGCAGCCAGACUUGCCUGUAGUUGCUCAUCCGGGCUUUUGCCCGGUGCAUUCUUCUGUAGGCAGGCCAGCAUCAGUUUGGGCGGUUGGAUAAAGACCUCUGUCACGUACCUUCUCUCGGGAAGGCCUUAUAGGGGAGGUGUCAUGCAACCAGCCUGGACUGAGGUCCGCGCAUCUGCUAGGAUGCUGGCGUAAUGGCUGUAAGCGGCCCGUCUUGAAACACGGACC
RNAcentral lists this ribosomal RNA (330 nucleotides) under uncultured fungus. RNAcentral describes it as "LSU rRNA". It matches the Rfam family "Eukaryotic large subunit ribosomal RNA", at positions 320 to 667 of the family's 3401-position model. Lineage: Eukaryota; Fungi. The record is from RNAcentral.